GGCCCUUCACCGGGGCAUGUGCUCGCUCCGAAAUCUAUUUAUCUUCUCUUGUGCACCUCUUGUGGUCUUUGAAAGAAAGUAAACCCCUCGCAGAAAUGCGGUUGGGGGGACUGGGCCUCACCCGCCCUUCCCCUGCUUGCUUUAAAAGUGAACCCCUCGCAGAAAUGCGGUUGGGGGGACUGGGCCUCACCCGCCCUUCCCCUGCUUGCUUUAAAAGUGUGAACCCCUCGCAGAAAUGCGGUUGGGGGGAUUGGUUACUCUUCCCCUGCUUACUUUUCUUUCAAAUGGCUAUGUUUUCAUAUACACUAUAAAGUUACAGAAUGUCUUUUAAAGAUUGUCGCUCGCGCGCAGUCAUUAAACCUAUACAACUUUCAGCAACGGAUCUCUUGGCUCUCCCAUCGAUGAAGAACGCAGCGAAAUGCGAUAAGUAAUGUGAAUUGCAGAAUUCAGUGAAUCAUCGAAUCUUUGAACGCACCUUGCGCCCUUUGGUAUUCCGAAGGGCAUGCCUGUUUGAGUGUCAUUAAAUUAUCAACCUUGCUCGUUUUCGAGUAAGGCUUGGAUGUGAGGGCUUGCUGGCUUCCUUCAGUGGAUGGUCUGCUCCCUUUAAAUGCAUUAGUGGGAUCUCUUGUGGACCGUCACUUGGUGUGAUAAUUAUCUAUACCUCGUCGACUUUGAAGCAAAUUUAUGGGAACCUGCUUAUAACCGUCUCGCAAGGGACAAUAUCUCUGACAUUU
This 734-nucleotide ribosomal RNA is filed under the name Mycena monticola. Its description in RNAcentral is "eukaryotic LSU rRNA". The stretch from base 367 to 520 matches the Rfam family "5.8S ribosomal RNA". The record is from RNAcentral. Lineage: Eukaryota; Fungi; Basidiomycota; Agaricomycetes; Agaricales; Mycenaceae.